RNAcentral lists this long non-coding RNA (208 nucleotides) under Elaeis guineensis (African oil palm). RNAcentral's name for it is "long non-coding RNA (EGUI_LNC055263)". The record is from RNAcentral. Lineage: Eukaryota; Viridiplantae; Streptophyta; Magnoliopsida; Arecales; Arecaceae.
UUAUAUCUGAUAAUAUAUUUUUAGAUCUAAUUAUUUAUUAUUUAUAUUAAUCUAAAUAUAUUUUAUUUUUAGAUCUGAUUUUAUAUAUUAGAUUAGAUGAUCUGAGUGGUAAAGUACUCAGAUUGGGUAAUCACCAGGCCAUCCGGUUAUAGGAGGAAGUAGGAUUACAUGACUCUCUCCUUCCAUUCAAUGGGAUACUCUUCAUGGC